Molecule: ribosomal RNA, 577 nt
Filed under: Aerococcus sp. Z38-SB-E14
Lineage: Bacteria; Bacillati; Bacillota; Bacilli; Lactobacillales; Aerococcaceae
Description: bacterial SSU rRNA
Rfam family: Bacterial small subunit ribosomal RNA
Source: RNAcentral
GAGUCGAGCGAACGAUGAGGUGCUUGCCUUCUGACGUUAGCGGCGAGCGCCGUGAGUAACAUGUAUGGAAUCUACCUAUAAGGGGGGGAUAACUUUCUGAAACGGGUGCUAAUACCGCAUAAUAUCUUCUUCCGCAUGGAAGAAUAUUGAAAGAGGGUUCUGCUGUCACUUAAAGGUGACCUUGCGGUGCAUUAGUUAGUUGGUGGGGUAACGGCCUACCAAGACGAUGAUGCAAAGCCGACCUGAGAGGGUGAUCGGCCACAUUGGGACUGACACACGGCCCAAACUCCUACGGGAGGCAGCAAAGGGAAUCUUCCGCAAUGGGCGAAAGCCUGACGGAACAAUGCCGCGUGAGUGAAGAAGGACUUCGGAUCGUAAAACUCUGUUAUAAGAGAAAAACAAAUUGUACAGUAACUGCUACAGUCUUGACGGUAUCUUAUCAGAAUGCCACGGCUAAAUACGUGCCAACAACCGCGGUAAUACGUAGGUGGAAAGCGUUGUCCGGAUUUAUUGGGCGUAAAGGGAGCGCAGGUGGUUUCUUAAGUCUGAUGUGAGAGCCCACGGCUUAAUCGUGGAA